GUUGAUGGAAAGCACAUAACAUCUUUUGCUUUUCGUGAAAGUUUGGAGCCAUGGCUUGUUAGUCAAGUAAGGAUAUCUGGAGACUUGAACUUAAUCUCUAUCUUGGCCAGUGGCUUACCCUCAUCUGAGGAAUCAGACCACAUUGUUGAUUUAGAGUCAUUAAAAUCAGCUCAACUACCACCCAACUGGAUCUCUUCAUUGGUGUCUUUUCUACAGCCAACAAUUUUGAGCGCAGGACGGCUGUUCGUAGAACAUGGAUGCAGUACCCCGC
This 271-nucleotide unclassified non-coding RNA is filed under the name Hevea brasiliensis (rubber tree). The record is from RNAcentral. Lineage: Eukaryota; Viridiplantae; Streptophyta; Magnoliopsida; Malpighiales; Euphorbiaceae.